ACACGAGGAUGCUGCCGUAGUGGCGGGGCCGGAGGCUGCAGCUGUGAGUCUGGCCAGGGCUAGACACUCAGGUGGGGCGAUGGCGGCGGCUAGGCACGAGGAAGAGCAGGCUGUUAUAGCGGACUGUCGCAUUUCAAACGUGAUCAACUGGAAUAAACCUUUUAGGACCACGACACUCUUUGCUGCCACCACUGCUGUGUACUGGUUUGUGGCCCUCAGUUCCUAUAGAGCGUACUGUCUUCUUGCCCUUUCCUUGGCUCUGAUGGGGACAGUGCUGCUUGUUAAAGAUGUGGCUCUCUCCAGAUGUGUCUCUUUCUCUAAAGGGGCCCACUUAUGGAGCAGUAUGACUGUAAGGUAGGAGCUCUGUUGCAUUAUCAACACAUUGUGUGUGUGUGUGUGUGUGUGUGUGUGUGUGUGUGUGUGUGAGAGAGAGAGAGAGCUCACAAUAUGGCUUGUAUUGAAUACUCCCCGUAAAGGGACACUUGAUCUACUUCUACAGAGUCAGAUGAACUCAUGGAUACCAUUUUUAUGUCUGCGGUUUGAAGGAAAUUGCUAACCAGCGCUAGCGCAAUUGCUAACUAGCGUUAGUGCAAUGGCUGGAAGUCUAUGGGCUUCCAUUAAAUGAGCUGACACUAGUUAGCAUUGGCUCACAAAACUACUUCCUUCAUACUGGACACAGAGACAUAAACAUGGUAUCCACAAGUUCAUCUGACUCUGGGGAAGUAGAUGAAGGGCCUCAUUGCCAAAAUCCUGAAGUAUUGCUUUUAAUGUUCCCUGUGUGUGUCCGCAUCCCGUUAUAUUUGCUCAACUGUGAGACAAGGCACCUGACAGUGUUGUGUUCGAGACCAUCUAAAGCUAGUCCAGUUCAAGACCAUGAUUGUAAUUGUUUCAUAUCACCACCAUAAUAAGAGAUCAAAAUGUCCAGUAUUUCUGUGUUCAUAUUUCAGAAGAACAUAUAGAUUCUUUAGACGUUCAGAAUGCUGAAAAACAUUAUUACUAACCCAAACUGGUCUCUAAAUAAUAGAUACAAAUACAAAAUAUGUAACAACUUCCUCGG
This 1057-nucleotide long non-coding RNA is filed under the name Oncorhynchus kisutch (coho salmon). RNAcentral describes it as "lncRNA (ENSOKIG00005047980.1)". Lineage: Eukaryota; Metazoa; Chordata; Actinopteri; Salmoniformes; Salmonidae. The record is from RNAcentral.